CUAUGUCAACAUAGCACAUUCUAUCACCAGAGCCUCUAAUAGCAGCAGCUACUAUUGUGCACACACGGGUGCCUGUGUAUGUGCCAGAUAUAGCACAGUCAGGGUAUGUGACAGAAUGGAAAGAAACUUAAGGGAAGAUUCUCGUGACAGACCUACAGAUAAGACAGAGGGAGCUACAGACUGACAUGAAAGACUUUAAAAAAAGCAUCCAAUGGAGUAAGAAAAAACCCUGUAAAGAAAUAGAACCUGUGAUAAGAUUCAGAAAUAAAAGCAAUCAUCUGAAUGUAAUAGCAAGUUACAAAGUUACUGUUCUUCAUACUGCUGCUCUAUUUAGACAGAAGACCACAACGAACAACAAAAUUGCACAAUUCUGGUGGUGAAAAAGGCAAACUAGGAGACUCUUCACCAAUGACCACCAAGACUCCAGCCCAGUACAAAUCAGGGGCCAUCCAGGAAUACAGAUAAAACACCCCUAGAGGAUUUUAAUGGGAGUUGUCUCCACACUGAGAACACACUAAACCAAAAGACUCAGUCUGAAAGAAGACAGGCUGUGGUCUAGAUUUCUCAACUUUCGUAUGUUUACAUCAACAGAAAGCAAACACUAGACCAAAGAAGAAUGAUUUGAGACGUCAAGGGAAUGGAGUUUCACUUUCCUGACCUCCAUUUAUUAGGCAAUAGUGAUGAACAAAGCAAAAUAGACAAUUUGGAAGCAAUGUCAAGGACUUCCUAAAAUAAUUAUGUCUGGCCUACCACUAUAGGUAUAUAAACUUGAGAAAAAGAUUUGAUACAAUACAGUCUCCUGUAGAUUCCCCCUUUUAUAUUGUAUCCAACUGUCUCCAAGCAGUUAUAAAAAGAAUAUCCCAACCACUUUGCUUCCAUGUUCUUAUCUGAAAAAUGUCAUCUGGCAUGAACUAAGAUAACAUGUAGGAAGCACUUAAAAUACCUGCCACAACAAACAUUGCUGUUCUCUAUCUUCACUUCCCAUCAGAGAGAAUCAAUCCACUGAGGAGAGGCUACCUAAUUAGAAACCAUCUAAUUUAUCAAAUCUUCUAAAGUGAUGCACAUUGAUGUUGAGCAGCCAUCACUAACAAAACAAUGAAAAUAAUUAUUAACAUGUAUUGUUUAUUACUAUAGAUCCACCAUUUAGGGAUUAAAUAGGUAUCAGUUUGGAUUUUGAUAAAAUAAUACACACAUAGCCAACACUCAAAUCUUAACGCGAAAGUAGGCUCUAAAACCCAUAGAAAGGAUGGGAGGGUACCAAAGAGAAAACAGCAAGAUUUAUACAUCAAAGCACUUGCUCUAUCAUUUUUUCUUUAAUGAGAACAUUGGAACUGAGAACUUCUGAAAUUCUGCGAAGAGUCUUCGGCUGCACCUAAAAAGAAAAACGAAAAAUAACGUGGGCACUAGGGGAAAAUAUAAAAAGCAUGCAGAAGUUUCGAAAAAAGGAAGAAAAAAUCUGAAUAAAGGGUCUCCUCAGAGGAUGAGUGAAGGGAAUGUAAAGGAGAAAAACGUGAAGUGAUUCAAGCACUAAAACGUGGAGAACAGUUUGUCAUGUGCUAUGGGGAUGGAAACAGGCAACCCCAGAGUAUCAGCUCAUCCCCCAGGCCCUGGAGAGGACUUUUUGUAAAAUCUCCACUACAGUGUUUCCACAUACCUGGAAUCGGGGAAAAAGGAUUUCUAAUGUUAGUACUUAUACAAAUUCUUUGACUUUUCACAUAAAAAUUUCAAAUUUAAUGACUAGAUCAUUCAUUUCUUCCACGUCUAAAAUAAGAUC
Molecule: long non-coding RNA, 1774 nt
Organism: Acinonyx jubatus (cheetah)
Lineage: Eukaryota; Metazoa; Chordata; Mammalia; Carnivora; Felidae
Exons: 3
Source: RefSeq, a predicted model, not a curated record